This 494-nucleotide ribosomal RNA is filed under the name uncultured bacterium. RNAcentral describes it as "partial 16S ribosomal RNA". It matches the Rfam family "Bacterial small subunit ribosomal RNA", at positions 28 to 507 of the family's 1533-position model. The record is from RNAcentral.
GUCGAACGCUGGCGGCGUGCUUAACACAUGCAAGUCGAACGGAAAGGCCUGCUUUCCCUUGUGGAUUGCGGGUACUCGAGUGGCUAACGGGUGAGUAACACGUGAGUGAUCUGCCCCCAACUUGGGUAUAAGCCUGUGAAACUGGGUCUAAUUCCCGAUAGGACUGCAGGGUGGUGCCUGUCGUGGACAACGAUUUUCUAGUGGUUGGGGAUGAGCUCGCGGCCUAUCAGCUUGUUGGUGGGGUAAUGGCCUACCAAGGCCGCGACGGGUAGCCGGCCGGAGAGGGUUGACGGCCACAUUGGGACUGGGGUCAGGCCCAGACGGCAACGGGAGGCAGCGGAGGGGAGUAUUGCACAAGGGGCGGAAGCCUGAUGCAGCGACGCCGCGUGGGAGAUGACGGCCUUCGGGUUGUAAACUCCUUUCGACCGAGAGGAAGCCACCUGGUUGGAAGGGUGGUGACGGUAGUGGUAGAAGAAGCACCGGCUAACUACGUG